This 88-nucleotide transfer RNA is filed under the name Ixodes scapularis (black-legged tick). Lineage: Eukaryota; Metazoa; Arthropoda; Arachnida; Ixodida; Ixodidae. The record is from Rfam by way of RNAcentral.
GCAGUCGUGGCCGAGUGGUUAAGGCGAUGGACUAGAAAUCCACUGGGAUCUCCCCGCACAGGUUGGUUAAGUGGUUAAGACGUCUGCC